This 274-nucleotide ribosomal RNA is filed under the name uncultured bacterium. RNAcentral's name for it is "partial 16S ribosomal RNA". It matches the Rfam family "Bacterial small subunit ribosomal RNA", at positions 523 to 796 of the family's 1533-position model. The record is from RNAcentral.
AUACGGAGGGGGCUAGCGUUGUUCGGAAUUACUGGGCGUAAAGGGCGCGUAGGCGGAUUGUCAAGUCAGAGGUGAAAGCCCUGGGCUCAACCCGGGAACUGCCUUUGAAACUAACAGUCUUGAGUCCGAGAGAGGAUGGCGGAAUUCCCAGUGUAGAGGUGAAAUUCGUAGAUAUUGGGAAGAACACCAGUGGCGAAGGCGGCCACCUGGCCCGGUACUGACGCUGAGGCGCGAAAGCGUGGGGAGCAAACAGGAUUAGAAACCCCAGUAGUCC